RNAcentral lists this long non-coding RNA (245 nucleotides) under Elaeis guineensis (African oil palm). RNAcentral describes it as "long non-coding RNA (EGUI_LNC080652)". Lineage: Eukaryota; Viridiplantae; Streptophyta; Magnoliopsida; Arecales; Arecaceae. The record is from RNAcentral.
CCAUCAUGCUUAUCUCGAACUCUCCCUGCAUGAGCUUGGCAAACUCUUGGCACAGAUCUUCAUUAGUAGAUCCAAAUAUAAUAUCAUCAAUAUAUACUUGUAUAACAAAAAAUUUUUUUUUCUUUCUUUUUAUAAAAAGAGUAGUAUCAAUUUUUCCUCUUGAAAAUCUAUUUUCUAAUAAAAACUUAAUCUUUCAUACUAAGCUUUAGGAGCAUGUUUUAACCCAUAUAAAGCUUUGUUUAACC